This 494-nucleotide ribosomal RNA is filed under the name uncultured bacterium. RNAcentral describes it as "partial 16S ribosomal RNA". It matches the Rfam family "Bacterial small subunit ribosomal RNA", at positions 28 to 507 of the family's 1533-position model. The record is from RNAcentral.
GACGAACGCUGGCGGCGUGCUUAACACAUGCAAGUCGAACGGUGAAGCGCCUUCCUUUUUGGUGGGUGUGGAUGAGUGGCGAACGGGUGAGUAACACGUGAGUAACCUGCCCCCUUCUUCUGGAUAACCGCAUGAAAGUGUGGCUAAUACGGGAUAUUCUGGGUCUGUCGCAUGAUGGGUCUGGGAAAGAUAUUGUUUCGGUGGGGGAUGGCCUCGCGGCCUAUCAGGUUGUGGGGGGGGUGGUGGCCUAACAAGGCGGUGACGGGUAGCCGGCCUGGGAGGGUGGACGGUCUGGCUGGGGCGGAGGCACGGCCAAGACUGCUAUGGGAGGCAGCAGUGAGGACUAUUGGACGAUGGGGGGGAGACUGAUGCAGCGACGCCGCGUGAGGGAUGGAGGCCUGCGGGUUGUGAACCUCUUUCGCCAGUGAAGCAGGGCUGUCUCGUUUGUGGGUGGGUUGACGGUAGCUGGAGAAGAAGCGCCGGCUAACUACGUG